Molecule: non-coding RNA, 31 nt
Filed under: Rattus norvegicus (Norway rat)
Lineage: Eukaryota; Metazoa; Chordata; Mammalia; Rodentia; Muridae
Source: RNAcentral
UGGUCAACUCAUGUGGCAGUCUUGACUGUGU